RNAcentral lists this ribosomal RNA (508 nucleotides) under uncultured bacterium. Its description in RNAcentral is "partial 16S ribosomal RNA". It matches the Rfam family "Bacterial small subunit ribosomal RNA", at positions 28 to 523 of the family's 1533-position model. The record is from RNAcentral.
GAUGAACGCUAGCUACAGGCUUAACACAUGCAAGUCGAGGGGCAGCAUGGUCUUAGCUUGCUAAGGCUGAUGGCGACCGGCGCACGGGUGAGUAACACGUAUCCAACCUGCCGUCUACUCUUGGCCAGCCUUCUGAAAGGAAGAUUAAUCCAGGAUGGGAUCAUGAGUUCACAUGUCCGCCUGAUUAAAGGUAUUUUCCGGUAGACGAUGGGGAUGCGUUCCAUUAGAUAGUAGGCGGGGUAACGGCCCACCUAGUCAACGAUGGAUAGGGGUUCUGAGAGGAAGGUCCCCCACAUUGGAACUGAGACACGGUCCAAACUCCUACGGGAGGCAGCAGUGAGGAAGAUUGGUCAAUGGGCGAUGGCUUGAACCAGCCAAGUAGCGUGAAGGAUGACUGCCCUAUGGGUUGUAAACUUCUUUUAUAAAGGAAUAAAGUCGGGUAUGCAAACCCGUUUGCAUGUACUUUAUGAAUAAGGAUCGGCUAACUCCGUGCCAGCCGCCGCGGUAA